RNAcentral lists this ribosomal RNA (666 nucleotides) under Bifidobacterium pseudolongum subsp. globosum. RNAcentral describes it as "bacterial SSU rRNA". It matches the Rfam family "Bacterial small subunit ribosomal RNA", at positions 62 to 724 of the family's 1533-position model. The record is from RNAcentral. Lineage: Bacteria; Bacillati; Actinomycetota; Actinomycetes; Bifidobacteriales; Bifidobacteriaceae.
UCGAACGGGAUCCCUGGCAGCUUGCUGCCGGGGUGAGAGUGGCGAACGGGUGAGUAAUGCGUGACCGACCUGCCCCAUGCACCGGAAUAGCUCCUGGAAACGGGUGGUAAUGCCGGAUGUUCCACAUGAGCGCAUGCGAGUGUGGGAAAGGCUUUUUGCGGCAUGGGAUGGGGUCGCGUCCUAUCAGCUUGUUGGUGGGGUAACGGCCUACCAAGGCGUUGACGGGUAGCCGGCCUGAGAGGGCGACCGGCCACAUUGGGACUGAGAUACGGCCCAGACUCCUACGGGAGGCAGCAGUGGGGAAUAUUGCACAAUGGGCGCAAGCCUGAUGCAGCGACGCCGCGUGCGGGAUGGAGGCCUUCGGGUUGUAAACCGCUUUUGUUCAAGGGCAAGGCACGGUUUCGGCCGUGUUGAGUGGAUUGUUCGAAUAAGCACCGGCUAACUACGUGCCAGCAGCCGCGGUAAUACGUAGGGUGCAAGCGUUAUCCGGAUUUAUUGGGCGUAAAGGGCUCGUAGGCGGUUCGUCGCGUCCGGUGUGAAAGUCCAUCGCUUAACGGUGGAUCCGCGCCGGGUACGGGCGGGCUUGAGUGCGGUAGGGGAGACUGGAAUUCCCGGUGUAACGGUGGAAUGUGUAGAUAUCGGGAAGAACACCAAUGGCGAAGGCAG